UCAGAUGCUCCCAUCAUGUUUUGUCUCUAUAAUGUUUGCUGCAAAUCUGGUGAAGGUGCUUUCAUAUCCUAUGAUAUUGCACCAUAAUAUGUUCUGCUUAAGAAAAUUCUGCUCAUUUCAUGUAAAAAAAAAUUCCAAGUAUGCUGUAAAUGUUACUACCCAACUGUGCAUAUGUGCACAGGCUCCAACCACUGGUGAAUUGGCUUUUGAGAAAAGAUCCUGUGACCCACAAGUGUUGCAGAACCACAAGUGAUGGGCUGAUCACUGCAAGCAAGGACUCGUCUGCUGUGCACUUUCAAAACCUCUAUGACUAAAGUCUUCUAAGUCAUACUGGUAGCUGCGUUAUACGCAGGGAAAUGCAGGAAACAGGUUCACAGGUUAAAAGUGAAGAUGGGCAAGAGGCGUUGGAGGUCUGAGGAAAAUGGAGAGAAUGGAAGAGUCAUGCAGGACAUUGGAAUGAGUAGACCGUGG
Long non-coding RNA from Canis lupus familiaris (dog), 471 nucleotides. RefSeq lists it as uncharacterized. The record is from RefSeq and is a predicted model, not a curated record. The transcript has 3 exons. Lineage: Eukaryota; Metazoa; Chordata; Mammalia; Carnivora; Canidae.